UACAGAGGGUGCAAGCGUUGUUCGGAAUUACUGGGCGUAAAGCGCGUGUAGGCUGCGGAGUAAGUCGGAUGUGAAAUCCCUUGGCUUAACCAAGGAAGUGCAUCCGAUACUGUUUCGCUUGAGUGUCGGAGGGGAUGGCGGAAUUCCCGGUGUAGAGGUGAAAUUCGUAGAUAUCGGGAGGAACACCUGUGGCGAAGGCGGCCAUCUGGACGACAACUGACGCUGAGACGCGAAAGCCAGGGGAGCAAACGGG
RNAcentral lists this ribosomal RNA (253 nucleotides) under uncultured bacterium. Its description in RNAcentral is "partial 16S ribosomal RNA". It matches the Rfam family "Bacterial small subunit ribosomal RNA", at positions 524 to 776 of the family's 1533-position model. The record is from RNAcentral.